GCUUUCAACAUCCCCGUUCCAGUUCGAGCGGAGUGCGCGCAUAGCGUGCCUGCCCGUGCUUGGAGCUGAAAGC
This 73-nucleotide non-coding RNA is filed under the name unclassified sequences. The record is from Rfam.